This 433-nucleotide ribosomal RNA is filed under the name uncultured bacterium. RNAcentral's name for it is "partial 16S ribosomal RNA". It matches the Rfam family "Bacterial small subunit ribosomal RNA", at positions 29 to 507 of the family's 1533-position model. The record is from RNAcentral.
AACGAACGCUGGCGGCAUGCCUAACACAUGCAAGUCGAACGAGACCUUCGGGUCUAGUGGCGCACGGGUGCGUAACGCGUGGGAACCUGCCCUUAGGUUCGGAAUAACUCCCCGAAAGGGGUGCUAAUACCGGAUAAUGUCUUCGGACCAAAGAUUUAUCGCCUUUGGAUGGGCCCGCGUUGGAUUAGCUAGUUGGUAGGGUAAAAGCCUACCACGGCGACGAUCCAUAGCUGGUCUGAGAGGAUGAUCAGCCACACUGGGACUGAGACACGGCCCAGACUCCUACGGGAGGCAGCAGUGGGGAAUAUUGGACAAUGGGCGAAAGCCUGAACCAGCAAUGCCGCGUGAGUGAUGAAGGCCUUAGGGUUGUAAAGCUCUUUUACCCGGGAUGAUAAUGACAGUACCGGGAGAAUAAGCUCCGGCUAACUCCGUG